This is a long non-coding RNA of Marmota monax (woodchuck), 5716 nucleotides long. RefSeq lists it as uncharacterized. The record is from RefSeq and is a predicted model, not a curated record. The transcript has 4 exons. NCBI's taxonomy places the organism in Eukaryota, Metazoa, Chordata, Mammalia, Rodentia, Sciuridae.
GUCCCCUGGUGACCUUGGCCAAUGCAGAGUGUCUCCCGCCCCCUCAGGUGGGGCACUUGAGGCCCUCCCUCCCCAGAACCAAACAGCCCAAGACUAAAGUUGGAGUUGUUUGUGUCUAUAGCAAAGACGGUCAGCCAUAGCUCAGUGUCAAGGGCUGCUGUCAUCCCAGGAGGGGACCGACAUGGAAACACCAGCAGGCCCUGGGCACACAGGCUUUUCUCUAUGGGACUCUCUGGGGUCAAGGAAGGAGUGUCGCCCCGGCAAGACUGAGGUCCCUGCAGCCUCAUGGAGGGGCUGGACGUGGGCAAGACUCCUCUGGCCUAUGUUUGGCAUCGAAUCCUCACUGGCCAGGCGCAGUGAUGCCCACAGCACAGAUAUCGUCACGCCCAUUUUAUAGAUGAUAAAGGCUUAAAGCGGUGAGCGACGUGUCCUAGGUCACUUGACGGCGAGUGGCAGGGGUGCCUCUGAAUCUCCACCCUGGGCUGUGGUCUCUUGCGCCCGCCUUGAGUUCCUUGCUCUCUUCAUCUGUACGGCAGACGUUACACGGUGCUUACCCCAUGCCAGGCACAGCCUACCAGCUGGGGACCUAGAGGUAUCAGGCAGCGUCUGGAGGGGAGUCACAACAGGCACCAUUCAUUCAGCUAUCCCUUCUGCAGUGUUCCCUGAGCACCUACUGUGAACCUGCAGUCUACCAGGUGCUGGGAUCCAGAAGCCAACAACAUAGACUGCUGCCCUCACGGAGGCUUUCUUCUCCUGGGGAAGGCAGAUAGUAAUCCAAUCAGGGAGCAGUGUUCUGCAGAAACACCACUGAGGGUCCUGCUAACUUGCCCACGUUGGCCUCAAACUGAGAUUACAGCCGUGCCCCUGGCAUCCAGCAGGAGGUAUUUUGAAGGGAUCAAAGCCCGGGUGUCCAGCAUGCCGGGCAAAGGUUCUACCAGAGCUGCACUCCCAGCCCAGAAAAAAACUAACCACGAUUUUCUCCGGAUCUUGGGAAAGAGAGGAAAUGUGAGUUCCCAGAAGCGGAGGCGCUGCCGAGGCCAGGCAGGAACGAGAACCGACCAGCCCAUCUCUUCCAGGGAAAGCUGCGGCCACGUGGACUGAGGCAGUCCCCGCCGGCCCGCGCCCUGGUUACCCCCCCCCAGGACUGCAGGCGCCCGGCGGGGCGGGGCGGGAACAGUUGCUGCAGGACAGAGCGAGCUCCACGUGGCCCUCCUUCUCCCCUUCCUGCCGCCUAGGCCGAGCAUUGGCUGUCUCCAGACCCCUGCAGCCUUGGAGUGGCCCCCCAUCUCCUCGGCCUCCAUUCUGUCCUUGUGGGAGGCCCUACUCGUGAAUGGAGUGUCUCCCCUGACUUGAUUAUAAAAAUCGUGAUUCCCAAAGUGGUCCCCUGGAGAAGCAGCAGGAGCAACACCUUCCCAGGUCCCGCCCCAGGCCGAGGGGGUCUGGGUCUCUGGAGGUGGGGCCGGCGACUGUCUGCCUGUGAUAUUGGGGGUCAAACUCAGGGCUUCACACCUACUAGGCAAGUGCUCCACCCUCAGCGGCAUCCCCAGCCCCUUUAUUUUGGUACAGUAGUUCUCUUAGUGGCCCAGGCUGGUCUCGAACUUGUGAUCCUUCUUGCCUCAGUUUCCCGAUGUCACUGGGAUGACAACCCGCUUGGAACCCAUGCCCUUAACCUCUGCUCUGCAGCUGCAUCCGCCGGCUGCCCUGCUGGGUCCGGCUCAGGGCUAGCGCAGACUGCACAGGCAGGCCUUGAACUGGAGUUGGGGCACGGCCGCGCCGGAGCCCUGUCUGCAAGGUUGGGAAAAAACAGACUGACUCCCCAGGAGACCCAGGCAGCCCAGGUUCCCUGUGGGAUGAGGGAGGUGGGCUGCGUGAGCCUGCAGAGGCCUCUGCAGUCCUGGUAGCCGGCGGUGGUGUGGGUGGACGAGCACCGCAGAGGCGGGGCGCAGCGCCACCUGCUGGCCAGAAAUCGUCAUUGGUGACGCCCGGGGACAAAUGCACGGACCUACCGAGGCACAUCUCAGGAUCACCAUGGCAGGCGGCAGCACGUGUCUCCUCCCGCUGCACGCGGGCGUACUUGUCCACACGUGGAUGUCUGAGCCUGUGGACACGUGGGGCCCUCAGCCACAAGACUUGGUAGCACCAAAUUCUCUCAUUUAUUCAUUUGUUCCCUUAUCAAAUGUUCUUUGAGAUAUGCCAAGCCUACACAGCUGUCACCAGGGAGCCUCCAGGCAGGGUGAGGGUCGUGAGACUCGGUAAUCACAAGGUGAAAUGGAUUAGGGUCCCGAGAGGGAUGUACCCCAUGAGGUCACGGAGGCACCCCAACCCAUCCAGACCGGGGUUGGAGCAGGGAAUCCUUCCCCAGGGAAUCCUGGUCUCAGACUGAUCAGGAGAUGGCUGGGGCAAGGGGCAAGGGCCAGCCAGAGCCAAGCCUGCAGGGAGAGCUGGGAGGGAGACCCCAGCUCCUGCAAAGGGUCCUGCACAAGCUGCAGAGUCUGGACUCUGUCCCCACAGGUGGUGGCCAGAUUCUGGUGUGACACUAUCCCGACGCAUUUGUACCAAAGCUUAGGACUCAGGAUCCAAGGGUCUGUCAGUCCCUUGGGGUGCUGGGCCUUGGAUGUGAUGUGUCCCUGUGACCUGUUCCUCCUGGCUACAGCAGCUGUCCUUGGAUAUGUCCUUGGUGAGGCGCCCCAAACCCUAGAGACAGGCCUGUUUCCAGUCUAGCAGUGACCAGAGUGGACAGCCGUCCCUGCAGCCCUCCCUGCCAAGUCAGGCAUCCCCAUGUGCCCAGCUGAUGCCCUGUUUUCAGUUCACGAGGGUGUCCGAGACAGCUCCAGGGUACAGCUCCCACCCGGUCCCUCCAAGGAGAGUCAGUGCCUCUCCGAGGGGUGGGAGCUGGGCGCUUUGAUGGGUGGGAGAUAGAGCUGGGGAGUCCCUGACGCUGAACACAGGACCAUCCUGGCUGGUGGGUACUAGGAAGGGACCUUGGGCAGCACAGGGCCAGGGGGGCAGCACGAAGCCCCUCUGAAGAGGAGUUGACUGCUUCCCUGUUCUGCCUGCGGCUGAGGUGAAGGCUUUGGCAAUGGCUGAUCCUCCCCCUGCCUGGCCUCUAGCCUGGUCCUCCACUUGCGGUUUUCCUCAGUGGCUCAGUGGUGGCGGCUUCCGAGAAGACCCACCAAGACUUUCCUGUCAGGGCAACUCCAAGUUCCUCUUAGCGAGGAAGGGGAAGUGGUGGAGUUUCUCCGGAGGGCUUUCCGUUUCGUUCUAAGAAGCCAAGGUGUCCCAACCCAGGGCUGGGGCAGAGCCCAGGCUUCAAGGAGAAGUUCAGCUGCAGGGGCUUUCCCACCCAGGGUCAGCCGCAGCUCAUUCGCCAGGGCCCACGGUGGACAUUCCAGGCAAGGAAACAAAAGACCCGCGGCUCUGGAGGCCCCAUCCGGCCUCCCUUUCUCUGCCCCCUUACGCCACCAACACACGCGCACACGUGCAGGAAGUGUGGCCUGCCCUCCGUCAGGGGCAUCCCGCGUGGAAAGCGCUCUUCCUGCCAGCAUGGUGGCGCACACCUGGAAUCCCAGGGACUCGGGAAGCUAAGGCAGAAGAGUUCAAGUUUAAGGUCAGCCUGGGCACCUUAGUGAGACCCUGUCUCAAAAUAAAAAAAUAAAAUAAAAAAGACUGGGGAUGUAGCUCAAGGGUAGAGCACCCCUGGGUUCCAUCUCCAGCACAGGAAAAAAAGAAAAAAAAACCCACUUGCUUGGGGGUAAUGACCUUCCAUGCUCAGAACAAUAGCCACCAUUGAUUGUGGGCGCUCACUGUGUGCCAUGUUCCGUGCCAAGCACUUUGCAUGAAUUUCCUCCUCUGAUCCUCACGAUGAUCCCAAGGGGGAAGAUACAAUCAGUAUCCUUCAAGUCAAGCCACCUGUCUGGCUUGUCCUUCCUAGGAGACCUCUUCGCAGAAAAGUGGGAGAAUAUUGGACCUUCACAGGAGGUGCCUGGGAAGGUCUGGUCCUCGCUUUCCCACGGUGCGCGAAGCCAGCUGUGGAGAAGAGCCGGGCUCCGGUCAUGGCUGUCCUCGUCCCACUCAGGCAGCCCCAGCCCUCCCCAGGGCAUUUUGAAUUCUCGUCACCUUUUCUAUUUUCUGUUUUUCUCCCACAACAUUAUUUUAGGGCUUCUGCUAUGCUAACACAUGUUUUGGGGACAGUGGGGGAUUCCCCAAAACCAUGAUGCUGUUCAGUUCAAAAACAUUUGCCUGAAGGUCCACAGCUGGGUGACUCACGCUGCUGAGGGGGUAAGAAAACUCACAGCUGCAGCGGGGAGAGGCUGGCCCAACCAAAGGGGGGACCCUUACAGGGUGGCCGGUUUGAGUAAAUAAAAAUACAGGAAGUCCAGCUAAUUUUGAAUUUCAGACGAACAACUCCACUUGGAACAUCUGGAAGCUUCAAGUUUAUCUGUUAGCCAGGUGUGGUGGCACACGCCUGAACUCCCAGCUACUGGGGAGGCUUCAACAGGAGGAUCUCAAGUUAAAGGCUGGUCUUGUGACUUACUGAAAACUUGUCUCAAAAAUUAAAAAAAAAAAAGUUAUUUGUUGUCUAUCGGAAAUUCAAAUUUAACUGGUAACCUGUAUUUUUUCUGGCAGCCCGAGAUUCUCUCUGCACCUGGAGCAGAGCCAUGGCCUUUCCUCUGGCCUCAGCAAAGUGCUGCUGAGAGAGAGACAGCAGGCUGACUGGGAUGACCAUGAACCUGGGAGUCUCAGGGAUCAGGGAAGGGUGGAGAGACACCCCGCCCUGGGGUUCUACCUGAGCAAUCAAAGGAGCUCAGCCCAGGGCAGAGUUCAUGUUCAAAUUCCAAGAGAAAUGCAAGGGUGCUCUUGAAGGUCACCCUGCCUUCUCUAGGCCUCGGUUUUCUCAGCUUGGCAAUGGGGAGAAGGUUUGGAUUUGGCAAUGGCUAGUGAGCCUCCUAGCCCUUGGUUUUUCUGGUCCUGUGGACAAGAAGCAAGAGGUAAGAGUCAACCAAGGAUGGAGUUUACAGAGGAAAGAGCUGUCCCUGCCACCUGCAUCGGCCGAAGGAGGUGGGGCCUUGCCCUGGACCCUGGGUACUUUGGAGGCUCCCCUUGGGCCAGGAGUAUAGUUUGUGCUGGGACCUCCUUGGAAGGGAUCCUGGGAACGUCUCUGUGGGUCACAGGGCCCCAAGCCAUACACAGCCAUAAAUACCUCCCAAACUAGAAAAGUAUAUAGUCAGAAUGAAAUUAUUAAAUGCCCACCAAAUGUUAACCAGGCAAUUGCAACCCAGCUCUUACAGUCGUGUAAACUGAACGUGAUACGCUGUGUACCAGUGUCCACUCUAUGCUCUGAACAUGGCUUGCUCCUGUACCACCCCAACUGAUUUUUAAAAUGGGCGUGGGUUUCUUUCUCCUCCUCUCUCCCUGCUCCUCCCUAAUCUCUCCCCCUCCCUCAUCUCAGGGGAACAGGAUUACCUUUCUUCCCCAUCCUAGGCAGAGUUAUCUGUCCUUGAGCACACACCCACCACAGGGACAAGUAACUCAAACUUUGGGGACAGCACCAGAUCUCAGAAAUGACUAUCUCCCAAAUUAACUAGUGAAUUCCAACUCUGGACAGAGAACACACGGAAUGUAGCCUCUGAAUCACCUCUUUAAAAGCCCCCUGUUCCUGCUGAUGGGCAGAAUCACAGCCUCUGGGACAGGAGUCCCCUGUGUUUCUCCUUUACUA